GAUGAAGAACGUAGCGAAAUGCGAUAAGUAAUGUGAAUUGCAGAAUUCAGUGAAUCAUCGAAUCUUUGAACACACAUUGCGCCCGCCAGCAUUCUGGCGGGCAUGCCUGUUCGAGCGUCAUUUCAACCCUCGACUUCCCUUUGGGGAAAUCGGCGUUGGGGACUGGCAGCAUACCGCCGGCCCCGAAAUGGAGUGGCGGCCCGUCCGCGGCGACCUCUGCGUAGUAAUCCAACCUCGCACCGGAACCCCGACGUGGCCACGCCGUAAAACACCCCACUUUCUGAACGUUGACCUCGGAUCAGGUAGGAAUACCCGCUGAACUUAAGCAUAUCAAUAAGCGGAGGA
This 345-nucleotide unclassified non-coding RNA is filed under the name soil metagenome. RNAcentral describes it as "partial contains 5.8S ribosomal RNA, internal transcribed spacer 2, and large subunit ribosomal RNA". The stretch from base 1 to 120 matches the Rfam family "5.8S ribosomal RNA", at positions 35 to 154 of the family's 154-position model. The record is from RNAcentral.